This is a non-coding RNA of Hydra vulgaris (swiftwater hydra), 795 nucleotides long. Lineage: Eukaryota; Metazoa; Cnidaria; Hydrozoa; Anthoathecata; Hydridae. The record is from RefSeq and is a predicted model, not a curated record.
UUAACAACAAAAUAAAAUUUAAUGCUAUUUCCAAUUGUUUAACAUAAAGUUUAUAGAACCCCCUGAAUCAAACAAACUAUUGAUCUAAUUUGGAAUGCUGCCACAAUAUAAGAACACAUGGACACUGAUAAAUUGAAAAGCAUCAAAAAGAAAAAGAAAUAGGAGCAUGUGGCAUGCCAAGAUGUACUGGAUAAAAUGUAUAAUAAGAUUAUUUGAUGAAAAUAAUUUUUGUAGGUUUUAAAAUCAAAAAAAAAAAUCUUGGGUGAGCAGAAGAAUCAAAACUGAACGAUUUUCGCAUUGAUGAAAAGGUUUCAAACGAAUCAAUCUCAACUGACAUAAAAACAAACGAACCUGAUAAUCCUCCAGCACAAAUGAUCAUCCCAAAAGAGAUACAGAGCUUUAUCGAUUCAUUUAAAAUGAACCCUGAAAAUAUUGACUUUAAUCAAAUAUUAAACCGUUUGAAUUCAAAUAAUAGAUCAGAUGAAACAAUAGCUUGUCGUAUUGUAGGAUUAUUGUUGGGAAAAAUAGGAGACUCAUUUGAAGAAAAAUACGAUAUCAAUAACAAUGUAAAGAACAAUUAUACACAGGGUCGGGAAUCGAAUAAAUCAAAUGCAGCAAAAAGACUAUGAUCAGAUCAUCAAUCAGAUGUAAUGAUAAAAAAUGAUGAAAUUUACAUGGUAAAUAAAUUUUGACAUUAGUUCUUCUAAUGACGACACAAUGAACAAUUCAUUUAAAUUAUAGUUAUUCUAUGACUCCAAGUUAUGUAUUAUAUAAAUAUUCAUUUUGUAAACUAAA